Globicephala melas (long-finned pilot whale) is the source of this 708-nucleotide long non-coding RNA. RefSeq lists it as uncharacterized. NCBI's taxonomy places the organism in Eukaryota, Metazoa, Chordata, Mammalia, Artiodactyla, Delphinidae. The record is from RefSeq and is a predicted model, not a curated record.
CUCUUUUCAAGUCCAGCACACGACUUAAAAACUUGCCUUUGAAAAUGAAUUCGUAGACAUUGAUUUUAGCUGUUUCAGGCAUACCUUUACAGUUUCUAUAUGAUAGCACUCAAACCAUUUAAAUAACUGGACUGUGACAUUACAUCGGAGGUUUCCAAAAAAGUGCAGGAAGAGUUUAAAAGACGAAAGAAGAAUUUUUUCCCUGCUAUCCUGAACUAAGUUAGAUUAUACAGUCUUUCUGGACUAUAGCUAUUCUGAGGCAGAUUGCUGUGCAGAGCAGCGCUACUCAAAGUGUGGACUGUGGACCAGCGGUGCCAGCACCAUCUCACCUCUCAUCACCUGGAGUCCCACUCCAGCCCUACUGGAUCCAAUUCUUCAAGGGCAGGGCCCAGGAAUCGGUACUUUAAUGGGCAUACAGGAGGUGGGAGACCAGCAGACACAGUGGAGAAAAAAAAAAUCGUCUGGACAGUGGUGGUUGUGUGCCAAAAAUAACAAGUGACAUUUUGGAGAAACACCUUAGCUGAUCAAUCAAGACUGAGAUGCCCAUGGGAGAACAGGGGAUGACAGUGACUUCUGUACUGCAGUCCAGUGGAGCACCCCCACCAAUGGAGCCAACAAACUGUAAAACAUGUGGCCCCAUGGCCUAAAGAAAGGAUGGGUUAGUCAUUGAGGAAUUAAACCAUGAGCCAGCAUUGAGCAUCACCUCUG